GUAGUCUCGCACAGAUGCAUAUCAAUAAGCGGAGGAAAAGAAACUAACAAGGAUUCCCCUAGUAACGGCGAGUGAAGCGGGAAGAGCUCAAAUUUGAAAUCUUAAAGGGUUUCCCUUUACGAAUUGUAGUUUAAAGAAGUGUUUUCUGUUGAGGUUUUGGUAAAAGUUCUUUGGAAUAGGACAUCAUAGAGGGUGAGAAUCCCGUAUUUGACCUUUACUUUCAACUCUUGUGAUACACUUUCAAAGAGUCGGAUUGUUUGGGAAUGCAGUCCAAAAUGGGUGGUAAAUUUCAUCUAAAGCUAAAUAUUGGCGAGAGACCGAUAGCGAACAAGUACCGUGAGGGAAAGAUGAAAAGAACUUUGAAAAGAGAGUUAAACAGUACGUGAAAUUGUCAAAAGGGAAGCGUUUGACACCAGUGUUGUUUUUCUGAAAAUCAAUUAAAGAACUGUUUAUGCUAAGUUGUUUAGACUUUAUCAGCUAACUGUUUAGUUUUGAGCUUUUCUUUAAUGCACUUUUCAGUUAACAAGUCAACAUCAAUUUCUUUUGCUGUAAAAAAGCUUGAGGAAGGUGGCUUGAGAUUCGUCUUAAGUGUUUAUAGCCUCUUGCCUAUGCAGUCGGAGAGAUUGAGGUCUGCAGCGUAGAUCCUUCGGGGCUAAAUGCAUUUGUGCUAAGUUAUAGCAUUUUAUAGACAACUUGUUGACUAUGAUUUGUCUUGUAGCUUACUCGCUUAUGUUAUUUUACCUACGCUUAGGAUGUUGACGCAUGAGAUAUACGC
This 775-nucleotide ribosomal RNA is filed under the name uncultured Neocallimastigales. RNAcentral's name for it is "partial large subunit ribosomal RNA". It matches the Rfam family "Eukaryotic large subunit ribosomal RNA", at positions 24 to 646 of the family's 3401-position model. The record is from RNAcentral. Lineage: Eukaryota; Fungi; Neocallimastigomycota; Neocallimastigomycetes; Neocallimastigales.